GUGCCAGCCGCCGCGGUAAUACGUAGGUGGCAAGCGUUGUCCGGAUUUAUUGGGCGUAAAGCGCGCGCAGGCGGUUUCUUAAGUCUGAUGUGAAAGCCCACGGCUUAACCGUGGAGGGUCAUUGGAAACUGGGAGACUUGAGUGCAGAAGAGGAAAGUGGAAUUCCAAGUGUAGCGGUGAAAUGCGUAGAGAUUUGGAGGAACACCAGUGGCGAAGGCGACUUUCUGGUCUGCAACUGACGCUGAGGCGCGAAAGCAUGGGGAGCAAACAGGAUUAGAUACCCGAGUAGUCC
This 292-nucleotide ribosomal RNA is filed under the name uncultured bacterium. RNAcentral describes it as "partial 16S ribosomal RNA". It matches the Rfam family "Bacterial small subunit ribosomal RNA", at positions 505 to 796 of the family's 1533-position model. The record is from RNAcentral.